UUUAGGGAGACCUAACCAAACAAAUCACUAACUCAUAUCGGUGAAUGUUUCGGUCAAUCCCAAGGUCGAACAAGGAAUAAAAUAAGAAACAUUGCUUUCAAACUAGAGUCUGGGUGGAGGGCAUGGGCUAUUAGCUCAGGUGGUUAGAGCGCACCCCUGAUAAGGGUGAGGUCCCUGGUUCGAGUCCAGGAUGGCCCAUCUCCACCACUAAACUCACACCAAAGAAUAACGAGAAUUAAAACCUCAGCACCUUAACUGGCUCAAAAAGCGAGUGAGAAUGCUGGACGUAAGUUCAGUUAGCACCUUGAAAACUGCAUAGAAAGAGAAGAAAAACAACGAAGUAAAGUAAUGAACGUAAGUUCAAAAUGAUAUUUCUGCUUGACAAGCAAAA
RNAcentral lists this transfer RNA (391 nucleotides) under Johanseninema constrictum. RNAcentral describes it as "Johansenia constricta partial 16S-23S ribosomal RNA intergenic spacer". The stretch from base 125 to 198 matches the Rfam family "tRNA". Lineage: Bacteria; Bacillati; Cyanobacteriota; Cyanophyceae; Chroococcales; Chroococcaceae. The record is from RNAcentral.